CUGGCUCAGGAUGAACGCUAGCGGCAGGCUUAACACAUGCAAGUCGAGGGGCAUCGGGAGUAGCAAUACUUGCCGGCGACCGGCGCAAGGGUGCGUAACGCGUGAGCAACAUGCCCGUAUCAGGGGGAUAAUCCAUGGAAACGUGGUCUAAUACCCCAUAGUAAUUAUGUAAGGCAUCUUAUAUAAUUUAAAGCUUUGGUGGAUACGGAUUGGCUCGCGUGACAUUAGCUAGAUGGUAAGGUAACGGCUUACCAUGGCUACGAUGUCUAGGGGUUCUGAGAGGAAGGUCCCCCACACUGGAACUGAGACACGGUCCAGACUCCUACGGGAGGCAGCAGUGAGGAAUAUUGGACAAUGGAUGGAAAUCUGAUCCAGCCAUGCCGCGUGCAGGAAGACGGCCCUAUGGGUUGUAAACUGCUUUUGUAUGGGAGCAAUAAGGGCUACGCGUAGUCCGAUGAGAGUACCAUACGAAUAAGCACCGGCUAACUCCGUGCCAGCCGCUGC
This 504-nucleotide ribosomal RNA is filed under the name uncultured bacterium. RNAcentral describes it as "bacterial SSU rRNA". It matches the Rfam family "Bacterial small subunit ribosomal RNA", at positions 19 to 518 of the family's 1533-position model. The record is from RNAcentral.